UAUAGACUAAUAAUUUCCAUAAAAAAACUCAAAAUGAAAUAAAACCACAAAACUCAAAAACACCGUAGAGUACCUGUGCCUGUCUACAUGAACCACUGCUUUUCAGCCAGAAAGGAGGGUACUGCCAGAAGACAGAGCAAGGAAAAAUAACUUUGUGUUGAGCUCAAUGAAUUCAGUUCAGCUGGUACUGGAAGAAUGAGGUUUUUCUGUUUUUCCUCUUGACAUGCCAAGAAGGCCUUUGCAGUAAGGACUAGGCAAAAUGAUUUCCUUGGGGCCACAUUUCCUGAGAGUGUGCUGGCUAUGUUCCUGAGAACCAGAGAGAGUCAUGGUUUGGAUCAGACUGUGUCACUGUUGCAGAAGAAGUAAUGCUGGGGAUUGAGAAAUGGGUACAGGAGCUGCAUCUUUC
This 406-nucleotide long non-coding RNA is filed under the name Cyanistes caeruleus (blue tit). Its description in RNAcentral is "lncRNA (ENSCCEG00000015784.1)". The record is from RNAcentral. Lineage: Eukaryota; Metazoa; Chordata; Aves; Passeriformes; Paridae.